Molecule: unclassified non-coding RNA, 520 nt
Filed under: uncultured Glomus
Lineage: Eukaryota; Fungi; Glomeromycota; Glomeromycetes; Glomerales; Glomeraceae
Description: SSU rRNA
Rfam family: Eukaryotic small subunit ribosomal RNA
Source: RNAcentral
AGCAGCCGCGGUAAUUCCAGCUCCAAUAGCGUAUAUUAAAGUUGUUGCGGUUAAAAAGCUCGUAGUUGAAUUUCGGGAUCAAUUAGCCGGUCGUGCCUCUGGUACGUACUGGUUUUAUUGGUUCCUCCCUUCUGACGAAACAUGAUGUCAUUAAUUUGGUGUCGUGGAGAAUCAGGACUGUUACCUUGAAAAAAUUAGAGUGUUUAUAGCAGGCUAACGCUUGAAUACAUUAGCAUGGAAUAAUGAAAUAGGACGUUCGACCCUAUUUUGUUGGUUUCUAGGAUCGACGUAAUGAUUAAUAGGGAUAGUUGGGGGCAUUAGUAUUCAAUUGUCAGAGGUGAAAUUCUUGGAUUUAUUGAAGACUAACUACUGCGAAAGCAUUUGCCAAGGAUGUUUUCAUUAAUCAAGAACGAAAGUUAGGGGAUCGAAGACGAUCAGAUACCGUCGUAGUCUUAACCAUAAACUAUGCCGACUAGGGAUCGGGAUGAUGUUAAUUUUUAAUGUACUCAUUCGGCGCCUU